This 231-nucleotide ribosomal RNA is filed under the name Clostridioides difficile. Its description in RNAcentral is "partial 16S ribosomal RNA". It matches the Rfam family "Bacterial small subunit ribosomal RNA", at positions 1185 to 1415 of the family's 1533-position model. Lineage: Bacteria; Bacillati; Bacillota; Clostridia; Peptostreptococcales; Peptostreptococcaceae. The record is from RNAcentral.
UCAAAUCAUCAUGCCCCUUAUGCUUAGGGCUACACACGUGCUACAAUGGGUAGUACAGAGGGUUGCCAAGCCGUAAGGUGGAGCUAAUCCCUUAAAGCUACUCCCAGUUCGGAUUGUAGGCUGAAACGCGCCUACAUGAAGCUGGAGUUACUAGUAAUCGCAGAUCAGAAUGCUGCGGUGAAUGCGUUCCCGGGUCUUGUACACACCGCCCGUCACACCACGGGAGUUGGA